Podarcis lilfordi (Lilford's wall lizard) is the source of this 2920-nucleotide non-coding RNA. The record is from the annotation of a GenBank genome assembly. Lineage: Eukaryota; Metazoa; Chordata; Lepidosauria; Squamata; Lacertidae.
UAUGGAAAUGGUUGUAUAUAAUGCAUAUACUGCUAAACAGCUAAGUAGUCCUUGGGGUUUUUAUGUUAAUUAUCUGUAUGUAAAUCAUUUCAAUCAGAGCAGUCUAAUGAGUCAAAAACUACUAGGAAAUGGGAGCAUAGAUUUGUAAUAUCUGUCAGGCUUUGUCCUAUACCAUGAAGCUCUGCUUCCUACAAGGUCCCUAUUUAGAAGCCAUUAAUGUAUCAUUGAAAACAAUUUAAUAUGAUAAGAGAAUAUGAUAUAUAGUACACUCUGGCGCUGACCUGGUGCUGCACCUUUUGUCCUUGCUGCUGUGUCGUGUAGUUAUAGCUUUCUCCCUGUCCCUUUUUGUUCCUCCUGGGGCCUAUUAGUGCAGCCAGCAUUUUAGGAUAGCACAAGACUUUUCACAAUUAUUAUUAGUUUCAUUAGUAUUUUUAGUCAGGGGUCUCUCUGACUUGCCUCCUACAUUGUGGCCCUCUGCUGAUGCUGAACUAGGCACCUGGUUGGGAAUAUCUUAGAAUCAUGUAGCUGCCCUUCUAGGUCUUUUCCCACCAAUGUACCCUGUAAGAAGUCUCCUCCCCUCCUUUUCAGGCUGCCCUGCCCAUUUCCUGCUCUACUGUCCCUCUUUCAUCCUGGAGUCUUUAUCAGCAUUUUUGUUCUCCUAUGCCUAGGCUGAAACACACACACACACACACACACACACACACACACACACACACGGGGGGGGGGGGAGAGUGAGAGAGAGAGUUAGAAUUAUGUUUUGAUAUAAUUAAGACUUUGGCACUUCAGUAGGACACUAAUUGAGGCUACUCCAGUUCUUGUUCUCUACUGCAGAGUAUCUAAUGCACACAUAAAGAGGUACACGUAAAGAAGAAAAUGGAAAAAGGGUUUCUCCUCUGCUCUCUGGUGGUCUUUCUCACUCUCCUUUUUUGUGUGGCUUCAAGAAAUAUUAAUAGCUGUAAAGUUUGAUAAUAAGUGAGUAUAUAGAAUACACUCAAACAAUGUGAAUGACAAAAUUAGGAUAGCAUUCAUGUUCUGUAAUUAAAGCUACACAGAUAAAAAGGAUAUACUUUGCCAGGCUUCAUUUGGAAGGAAGGGGGGCAGAUGGGGGGGGGAUGGGACAAAAGAGAACUAUAGCAAAAGGGACCCUUAUUUCCAAUGUAUUCUGUUCACCAUCAGUAGAAAUGGCAUUAAUUCAGGUACCCAAUUACUGUAAUGUGGUUCAGAGCACCUCAAUAGGUGUUUCAAUCUCAAGCCAGGACUAACAUUUGUAAUCCUUUAAAUGCACUUAAGAAAUUGAUGUUACAGCCCCACAAUCUGUUAGGGGCCUUGCUUCCUGGCUGAUUGCAAAGUAUCCCACCAUUAAUUGGAUCAUCAGAAUGUGAUCCGCGUCUCGGUCCUCGGAUUAUGUAAGACUGACUUUGCUCUGACGCGAUGAACCAGAGACUUCUUUUGCUGGAUAUUUUGACCCUUAAUGUAGAUAAGUGGUAUUUUUCAUCAAUCUUAGCUUGCAUUAAAAAAAGGGAAAUGUCAAUUCAAUGUGGGGCAUUUAACUUAAUUCAACAUCUUUUAAUUUAAUACCUUGGAAAAGUUAGUCUGUCUCCGACCUGCCUUACACUUCUGCUGAUGGAAUAUUUUGUAAAACACUGCUGAAAAUACAUAGUCUUCCUCUAAUAAAAUCAAGUUCUGAAAAUCUCUGCACCCUUGGGGUGUGUGAGGGGAGACAGGGCUUCAAAUGUGCAGUAAUUAUAAUGGAGUUACUUUUGCUGUUACAGACUUAAUUCCUGAAUAGUUUAUAUCUUUGUCUGAUGGAAAUAAAUGUGAUAGUUUAAAUUCAAUUUGUCGUUGUUCCUUGUUCUGCUUUCACUCUGUGCUCCAUAUUUCUGAGCAAGCUAUUGUGAAAGCUAACAUGGUUAUUUGAUCCAGACACAGUGUAUUAGAACUGAGAAGAUGAACUGUUCAUUCUUGCUCUGUUGCUUGAUUUUGGAGGGGUGGUGGUGGGACCCUUUAAUCAAACUUUAUUUUUACCCUGCUUUGUGCCCAGAAACCAACAGGCAUAACCAAGACCUCAAGCUUAUGUAAGCUGUUCUGAGAGCAAGCCCCAUGGAAAAUAAUGGGGCUUACAUCUUAGUAUGUUUUGGUUUGUGCUACAUGUUGCAUUGAAAGUAAGAGAGUUGUGGUUCAUUUAAGACCCUAUGAAAGCCAAUGCAUAUAGUGGCUCCUAAUUAUUGAUUUUUGCUGGAUUGUGCCCUCUUUUGGAAAUGGAGAUAAUAUAAUGUGUAAUGGUUACAACAAUUAUUUGGUUGAGAAAACUAUUUAGGACAGAUUCUAAGCACUGAAGAGUAAUAGCCCUCUCUUGCUGUAUCUCUGCAAUAGUUAAUGUAGUUAAUCCAUAAUGAUGUUUAAGAACACCAGUGUCUUUUCUAAUGAUAUUCAAUACAUAAAUGUCCUAUGAAUUAUAAAUGUAUCAAAAAUUUGCAUCUUCAUCUCGAUUCCCCUCACAGCCCAUGCAUACUGUGAGCACGCGUAUAAAGGGAUUGAUUCAGGAGAAGAAAGGAAACUGAGAGAGACUCCAAUAGCCUGUAUCGCUAUUACAUCUUUAUCCUGUCUGUUCUCCAAGGUUUCCUGUACUCUGUCACUCUGCUUGAAGUGUGUGUAGUCCUUUAACCUUAUUUUCAUUUCACAGACAGUUGAAAAUAUACCUCUGUGUCCACAUUUUGGGCUAUAGGUGAAGUACAUUCUAGACUAUGGUUGUGUUGCAUCCUGCUACUAACUGAAUGUCAUUGGCAGCACUGACUGUGAAUUAAUUAAUUAAUUAAUAUGUUUGGUUGGUUGUUCUAAAUAAUGUUACAUUUUUAAAGAUAUUUUUUUUUGUAUUUUGUGCUCUGGAGCCCCUGAGUAAAAGACAGGUUAUGAAUAUCAG